This 253-nucleotide ribosomal RNA is filed under the name uncultured bacterium. Its description in RNAcentral is "partial 16S ribosomal RNA". It matches the Rfam family "Bacterial small subunit ribosomal RNA", at positions 524 to 776 of the family's 1533-position model. The record is from RNAcentral.
UACAGAGGUCUCAAGCGUUGUUCGGAUUCACUGGGUUUAAAGGGUGCGUAGGUGGAUUAGUAAGUCAGUGGUGAAAUCUCCGGGCUUAACCCGGAAACUGCCAUUGAUACUAUUAGUCUUGAAUACCGUGGAGGUCAGCGGAAUAUGUCAUGUAGCGGUGAAAUGCUUAGAUAUGACAUAGAACACCAAUUGCGAAGGCAGCUGGCUACACGAGCAUUGACACUCAGGCACGAAAGCGUGGGGAUCAAACAGG